AUUCUGCUUCCUGUAUAGUUUCAGACUUUGAAUCAAAUAUAUACUUUAUAUAUAUAAGGUAGUUUGUGGUGUAUGUGGUGAGGGCUUCAAGUUGCUUCCACUCAUGGUAGAUGGGGAAGGAGAGCCAGCAUUUGCAAAGAUCACAUGUUGAGAUAGGAAGCAAGAGAGAUAGGGGAGAUGCCAGGCUCUUUGUAUUGAUCAGCUUUCGCAGGAACUAAUGGAGAAAGAACUCACUGAUUACCAUGAGGAUGGCACUAAGCCAUUCAUGAGGGGAACCUGCCUCAAUGUAACAGCAAUAAGAUACUUACCAGAAUGUGGGCCAGCUGUGAGUAGCAUUUAGAUGGUCAUAAUACUGAUUCAAAAACCAUUUUUUAUGUGUAUGUGUGAAUGUUGGAUGUCAUAGCAUUGUAGGUCAACAGAGCUAAUACUCAGUUUAAGAAUAAGACAGUCAAUAGUUAAUACCUAAUAUUUUAAGAGGAAAAAAAGGAAGAAUGCAAAAGGCUAAAGUCCACCACUGCACAAACAUGUAUCUCCAUUAAAAAUCCAGCUAUAAAUUAGUCCCAGAGCUUCUUGAGCAAAAAAGUGCUGAAUCCCCUUGAGAAAAGAAAUUUACAUUGGGGCAAGGGAACUACAGAUAUUAUGCAAGUCCAAUAAUGAAAUUAACUCACUCAUCUCCACAGAGUAUACCGUUAUAAGGCUUGGCUGAAGACAAUAUGAUGCAGGAAGAGAAAAUGAGUGUUGGUAAGAGAUUCUCAGUUGCCUCAGAAAUUUUCCCAGCCUCACAUGAUGCUGAGGUUUCCCAUGAAAAGAAGCCAGUUCAAACAUUGCCAACAUUCCCAAUACCUGUGUAAAGUUUAGUGAUUUAGAGCAUCUUCAAGGGUUUAUCAGUCAUUUAUACAUCUUUGAGGAAAAAUAUCUGUUCAAGUGUCUUGUCUAUUUACCAUUUAGUCCUGAUAGCUGCCUGUGUGAUUACUAUAUACUUGAGAAUAAUUUUACUAAUAUGCUAUAUGAAGACUACCCAAAUAUAAACAAACAUAACCUAUUCAGAGUUUCCUACAGCAAGCUUGAGUGUGACAGAGAUUCAAAUGCAGGCAGGGGAGUGAGAAUGCUAUAUAGUGAACAAAUAGAAGGUUUCAGGUACACUCUGAUUAGAGGUCAUGAGGAUGCUCAAACUCAGCUAACUAACAGCAGGACAUAUUCUGUGGUUGGUUUUGGGAGUACAUUUGAUUUUACUUGGUUGGUCAUGAGUUGGAAGCAGGGAGAAAAAUAGGUAAGCAGUCAUACGCUGUCACGACCAAGUCCUGACAAUUCUGGGCCAGUUGAUGCAGAGGUUGUGGUUUGCAUUCUUGCGCUUAUUGUGAUAUGCAGUCUGGUCAUUGCUUAUUUGUAUAUUCAGUCUCUAAGCUCUGUGGUCCAUUAUUUCAAACUUGGAUCACAAUAAAGUAAUAAGAUAUUAUUCAUCACUUUAUAGUUGUAUGUUUAAAUGAAAUAAAUAUUAGAUUAGUUGUAAAUGAAAAUGACAGCUCAAUUUGUAACUCCAUUAAUAAUUUUGUUAUAUUUAUGUGAAACAUACUCCCUUAAUGUAUAUUUCCAAACACUCUCAUUAGCUAUCUCUUCACUGUAUAGUCAAAAAUAAUUUCAGAUCGUUGAUGUCAGCAAGAUGGCAGAAUAGAAGGAUAGAGUCUCUCCUUUCCCCCAUGGAGACAAAGACUCAACAACAAUGCAUGAAUCAAUUUCUUUUGUGAGAAAUACAGUUAAAGG
Molecule: long non-coding RNA, 1761 nt
Filed under: Homo sapiens (human)
Lineage: Eukaryota; Metazoa; Chordata; Mammalia; Primates; Hominidae
Description: non-protein coding lnc-TMPRSS15-19:5
Source: RNAcentral